Globicephala melas (long-finned pilot whale) is the source of this 2119-nucleotide non-coding RNA. The record is from RefSeq and is a predicted model, not a curated record. Lineage: Eukaryota; Metazoa; Chordata; Mammalia; Artiodactyla; Delphinidae.
GCUGUCCUGCUGUACAUGAAGCUUGUUGGAGCGGCACAGAAGAAGAAUGAAAAAAUGCUGGGGUCCCCACGUAACAUACCAGGAGGGGGUCCAGUGAGUCCAUAUUUUAGAGGCACCCAGCCUGCGUGUUCAUCCUAGCCUCUGCCACGUUGGCUGUGUGACCUGGGACAAGUUGCAAAAAGAAUACAAAGAAUUCCCUGUAUUCCCUUUGUAAUGUGUUUUUAAAAGAUGAAAUAAUUAAGAAAUGUGCCCUGAAUAUCAGAUGUCAGACCUUCUACCACCAAGACUCUAUACAUAUCCAGGAAUGGAAUUGCUGGGUCAUAUGGUAGUUCUAUUUUUAGUUUUUUGAGAAAUCUCCAUACUGUUUUCCACAGUGGCUGCACCAGCUUACAUUCCCACCAACAGUGUAUGAAGGUUCCCUUUUCUCUCACGAUCCUGUUUUUUUCGUGUGUUGCUCCACGGACCACAGAUUAAUAUAGUGAAUUAGUCUGUGAGCGCUGGUGUCACGGCCUGCAUUGGAAUGUCAGUCCUACCACUUAUUAUCUGUGAUCCUGAGCCUCAGUUUCCCAGUCUGGGAAAUGGUACCAACCUCAUAGGAUUAAUGGAACAAGAUUCGAAGGGUGUGCGUGGAGUGAGCGUGCCUUGGCGUGAAGGCUGCGUGCAGUCCUUGCUUUCCAAUCCCGGCCGGUUUUCUGCUCUCGUGAAGCCGCCUUUCUUGGCAGAAAGAGGGGUCAGUAGCCCUUAGUGGACGACUGAGUGGACGAGGGUUGGCUCCCGCUUCUGCCCAGGUUUAAUGGCUCUUCCAGCGACAUCUGCAUUUAUGAGGGGGGAAAGAAAAAGGAUCCCUAACAGAUGGAGAAAGAGGCCCUCUGGGUAGAGAAAGGUGCCCUCAUCACUCUUCACAGCAGCCCUGGAGGAAGGUGGCACUGGCUCUGUCCCCCAGGCCACUGGCCCAGAUGCUUGUCCUUGUUCCUCUACCUUGGACUCCUUUACCUCCCAGCUGAGUUGGAUAUCCUGUCAGCCCAGGUUCAUUCUCUGCUACCUGCCCCCCCAGACAUUGUCAGGUUUGAAGGAGACUCCAGGAACUGCUGCAGCCAUCUGCCAGUCUAACAAGUAGACCAACUCAAAGCAGAGAGCAGAGGCCAAGGAAUUUCAGAAAAGCAGAACCAGGAUAUGUUGUGGAUGGACCCUAAUCUACCCCUGAACUUCUUGUUACGUGAGGUACCCAAGGAGAGCGUCCUUUGUGCCAGGUACUGUGCCAGCCGUCCUUGAAGGUUAACUCAUCCCAUGUGCUAAUGACACCCAACUCUCUGAAGUCCAGACCCCUCUCCCUUCAGAGUCACACUUGGACAGUCACAAGCUCUUUGCUUGUCCUUUGCGGGAACAACUCCUCCCAACGCUUUAUGUGUUAGGAGUGGGGCUGUUUCACCUCUGGUUUCAGUCUUGUAAUUUCUGCUAGACUUCUUGGAAAGAAAACUCUCUUACUGCUAAUAGUGCUUGAUGUAAGUUUGGAGAAGCAGAAAGAGUCACUGAAAAUGAAGACAUCACAGAGGAUGGUCAGCUGGAGUGAUGGAGAGAGAGACCUUAUACUGAUGUCACCACCUAAACUGCCAGAAGCUGCCCUGAAGCUACACUAUCCCUGGUCCUCAGUUAUGUGAGGACUGAUGAACUUUAAUCAAAGACCAGCUCCAUUCUCUAGCUUGUGUUCAGGAAUCAUGAGCCAGUGACCCUUGCCCACCUCUGAUUGUGUGGGCUUGGAGAUAACAUAUGUGAGAGUGCUUUCCUGUUUUCUACAAAUGGGAGGUAAUUGUAUGGUAGAUAUAAAGUUAAUUGGAGGGACUUCCCUGGUGGCGCAGUGGUUAAGAAUCCACCUGCCAAUGCAGGGGACACAGGUUCGAGCCCUGGUCCGGGAAGAUCCCACAUGCCGUGGAGCAACUAAGCCUGUGCGCCACAACUACUGAGCCUGUGCUCUAGAGCCUGUGACCCACAACUACUGAAGCCUGCGCACCUACAGCCCAUGCUCUGCAACAAGAGAAGCGACCACAAUGAGAAGCCUGUGCAUUGCAACGAAGAGUAGCCCCUGCUCGCCACACCUAGAGAAAGCCCGUGCACAGCAAUG